AGUGAGAAUGCCGGAAUGAGUAGCGAGAAUUAUGUGAGAAUCAUAAUGGCCGAAAAUCUAAGGUUUCCUGAGGAAGGUUCGUCCGCUCAGGGUAAGCCGGGGGCUAAGGCGAGGCGGAGACGCGUAGCCGAUGCACAUACGGUUGAAAUUCCGUAGCCACCGAAAGAUUUAAGUACAGGGACGCUUUAGAAGUGAUGUAGCCGGGCGAUGGUUGACCCGGUCGUAAGGGAUCGAAAAUGAGUAGAGAAGUCAUCAUGGAAAGAGACAAGAAAAGCUGUAUGAAUAUCUUAGGUGCCCGUACCGCAAACCGACACAGGUAGAUAGGAAGAAGAUUCUAAGGCCAACGGGAGAAGGGUUGUUAAGGAACUCGGCAAGUUGACCCCGUAACUUAGGGAUAAGGGGUGCUCAAGUGAUUGAGCCGCAGAGAAUAGGCCCAGGCGACUGUUUAGCAAAAACACAGGUCUCUGCUAAAUCGAAAGAUGACGUAUAGGGGCUGACACCUGCCCGGUGCCGGAAGGUUAAGAGGAGAUGUGAGAGCAUUGAAUUGAAGCCCCGGUAAACGGCGGCCGUAACUAUAACGGUCCUAAGGUAGCGAAAUUCCUUGUCAGGUAAGUUCUGACCCGCACGAAAGGUGUAACGAUCUGGGCACUGUCUCAACAACCCGCCCGGCGAAAUUGUAGUACCGGUGAAGAUGCCGGUUACCCGCGACAAGACGGAAAGACCCCAUGGAGCUUUACUGUAGCCUAAUAUUGGAUUUCGGUAUUUCACGUACAGGAUAGGUGGGAGACUGGGAAGCACAGGCGUCAGCUUGUGUGGAGUCGACCUUGGGAUACCACUCUUGGAGUGCUGGAAUUCUAACCUGCGGCUUUGAAGCAAGUCGGGGGACAUUGUUAGGUGGGCAGUUUGACUGGGGCGGUCGCCUCCUAAAGAGUAACGGAGGCGCUCAAAGGUUCGCUCUGCAUGGAUGGAAACCAUGCGUCAGAGUGUAAACGCAAAAGCGAGCCUAACUGCGAGAAUGACGGUUCGAGCAGUAACGAAAGUUGGAGUUAGUGAUCCGGCGGUAUGUGAAUGGAAAUGCCGUCGCUCAACGGAUAAAAGCUACCCUGGGGAUAACAGGCUGAUCUCCCCCAAGAGUCCACAUCGACGGGGAGGUUUGGCACCUCGAUGUCGGCUCAUCGCAUCCUGGGGCUGUAUUCGGUCCCAAGGGUUUGGCUGUUCGCCAAUUAAAGCGGUACGCGAGCUGGGUUCAGAACGUCGUGAGACAGUUCGGUCCCUAUCUGUCGUGGGCGUAGGAUAUUUGCAAGGAGCUGUCCCUAGUACGAGAGGACCGGGAUGGACGCACCUCUGGUGCACCAGUUGUCACGCCAGUGGCACAGCUGGGCAGCUAUGUGCGGAACGGAUAAACGCUGAAGGCAUCUAAGCGUGAAGCUGCCCUUAAGAUAAGAUAUCCCUUCUGUUUACAGAGUAAGACCCCUUGAAGACUACAAGGUUGAUAGGCUCAAAGUGUAAGCACGGUGACGUGUUUAGCUAGCGAGUACUAAUCGGUCGAGGGCUUAACCUU
Molecule: ribosomal RNA, 1561 nt
Filed under: human gut metagenome
Description: bacterial LSU rRNA
Rfam family: Bacterial large subunit ribosomal RNA
Source: RNAcentral